Molecule: ribosomal RNA, 497 nt
Filed under: uncultured bacterium
Lineage: Bacteria
Description: partial 16S ribosomal RNA
Rfam family: Bacterial small subunit ribosomal RNA
Source: RNAcentral
GAUGAACGCUGUCGGCGUGCCUAAUACAUGCAAGUCGAGCGAACGGACGAGAAGCUUGCUUCUCUGAUGUUAGCGGCGGACGGGUGAGUAACACGUGGAUAACCUACCUAUAAGACUGGGAUAACUUCGGGAAACCGGAGCUAAUACCGGAUAAUAUUUUGAACCGCAUGGUUCAAAAGUGAAAGACGGUCUUGCUGUCACUUAUAGAUGGAUCCGCGCUGCAUUAGCUAGUUGGUAAGGUAACGGCUUACCAAGGCAACGAUGCAUAGCCGACCUGAGAGGGUGAUCGGCCACACUGGAACUGAGACACGGUCCAGACUCCUACGGGAGGCAGCAGUAGGGAAUCUUCCGCAAUGGGCGAAAGCCUGACGGAGCAACGCCGCGUGAGUGAUGAAGGUCUUCGGAUCGUAAAACUCUGUUAUUAGGGAAGAACAUAUGUGUAAGUAACUGUGCACAUCUUGACGGUACCUAAUCAGAAAGCCACGGCUAACUAUGUG